GCCGGGUGCGGUGGCAUGCGCCUGUAGUCCCAGCUACUCGGGAGGCUGAGGCAGGAGGAUUGCCUGAGCCCAGGAGUUCUGGGCUGUAGUGCGCUAUGCCGAUCUGGUGUCCGCACUAAGUUUGGCAUCAAUAUGGUGACCUCCUGGGAGCGGGGGACCACCAGGUUGCCUAAGGAGGAAUGAACCGGCCCAGGUCGGAAACGGGGCAGGUCAAAACUCCCGUGCUGAUCAGUAGUGGGAUCGUGCCUGUGAAUAGCCACUGCACUCCAGCCUGGGCAACAUAGUGAGACCCCGUCUCUU
RNAcentral lists this signal recognition particle RNA (300 nucleotides) under Monodon monoceros (narwhal). Its description in RNAcentral is "Metazoan signal recognition particle RNA (ENSMMNG00015009754.1)". It matches the Rfam family "Metazoan signal recognition particle RNA". From Rfam's summary of the family: The signal recognition particle (SRP) is a universally conserved ribonucleoprotein. It is involved in the co-translational targeting of proteins to membranes. The eukaryotic SRP consists of a 300-nucleotide 7S RNA and six proteins: SRPs 72, 68, 54, 19, 14, and 9. Lineage: Eukaryota; Metazoa; Chordata; Mammalia; Artiodactyla; Monodontidae. The record is from Rfam by way of RNAcentral.